CCUACGGGAUGCAGCAGUGGGGAAUAUUGCACAAUGGGGGAAACCCUGAUGCAGCGACGCCGCGUGAGUGAAGAAGUAAUUCGUUAUGUAAAGCUCUAUCAGCAGGGAAGAAACUGACGGUACCUGAGCAAGAAGCCCUGGCGAACUACGUGCCAGCCGCCGCGGUAAGACGUAGGGGGCAAGCGUUAUCCGGAUUUACUGGGUGUAAAGGGAGCGUAGACGGCCGUGCAAGUCUGGAGUGAAAGGCGGGGGCUCAACCCCCGGACUGCUCUGGAAACUGUACGGCUGGAGUGCAGGAGAGGUAAGUGGAAUUCCUAGUGUAGCGGUGAAAUGCGUAGAUAUUAGGAGGAACACCAGUGGCGAAGGCGGCUUACUGGACUGUAACUGACGUUGAGGCUCGAAAGCGUGGGGAGCAAACAGGAUUAGAUACCCGAGUAGUC
RNAcentral lists this ribosomal RNA (440 nucleotides) under uncultured bacterium. RNAcentral's name for it is "partial 16S ribosomal RNA". It matches the Rfam family "Bacterial small subunit ribosomal RNA", at positions 338 to 795 of the family's 1533-position model. The record is from RNAcentral.